RNAcentral lists this long non-coding RNA (2318 nucleotides) under Heterocephalus glaber (naked mole-rat). RNAcentral describes it as "lncRNA (ENSHGLG00000042635.1)". The record is from RNAcentral. Lineage: Eukaryota; Metazoa; Chordata; Mammalia; Rodentia; Bathyergidae.
GUCAAGGUUGUAGAGAAACAUCAGGAAUAAUUCUUGGCUUCAAGAAUCUCAGUUUUUAAUUGCAACAAGACUAGUGAGUAAAAUUAAAGUUAAGUGAUCAGUUUGUACAGAAUAUAAAGAACUACCAAAUUUUCUUGGAGAUCAAGGACAGAGAAGUUCAUCUGAUCAGUUUGAGCAAUGUUUACUGUGAGUACAAGAUUGAUGGGGCAUCCCUGAUGGAGUGAAAGAUACCAAACACCAGGCCUGGAUGGCCAGGGAAUAGGCUGCCCACAAGAGGAGGAAGGCACAGGAGGAAGGCCUCUGGUCUGUGUGGGAACAGGAAGAAGAGCAAUCAGGUUGGAAAGGAAGUUUCAGAGAUGAAGAUUUGGAGAGGACCUGGGAGAUCUGGAAUUAAUCUCAGAUCAUCCAUUUGAAAUGCUAUCUGGAGCAAGCUUCUCUUUUUGAGGGCUCAGAUUCCUUUGUGAAAAAUGGCACCUGUUACUUAGAGGCUUCUGAUGGAUUGAGCGUCUUAUAGGAGCCGAUUAAGGCAAGUGGUGAAGGACUCAAAGGUAAGAGGGUGAGCUUGGUGGCCUAAUGGGAGUGACCAGAGACCUCUCAUCCUUUUCACCCUGUGAGGAGACAGCAAGAAGGCACUGUCCACAAGCCAGAAGGUUUCUGGUAAAGUGGGAAGAUAUUACACAUUUUUGAAUAAUAAAGCCUACUGAAAGUGAGUCUGAUGCUGAGUCAAGGAAGGGGAGAUUGUGCACCAGAGGCUUAAUUUCUUCUAUUAGCCUGGCUGCUGGCAAUAACUUCCUGAAGGACACCUUCCGGACAAACUUCCUCUAAUGUUUAUGUUGCCUCCACCAGCCAGUCUUCUAAGUAAGCCAGAUUCUCCUCUGUGUUGUGCCUCUGCCAUGCCAUCUUAACUUGGAGCCAGAUGACUAUGGACUGAAACUUCUACAAACUGUUACAAAAAGCUCAAAGGUGAAAACUGUGAGCCACGUCAUUCGCAGAAGCCCCAGAAAUCCCCAUCACAGUCUUAAUAGCCCUGCUGGCACGUUGGCCCCCAUGGUAGAACAUAUGCUUUAAAGUUAACCUGUUUUGAAACAUAAACAGAUUUUUCGCUUCACACAUACUGCAACUGGACAAAAAGGCUAUUUUCGAUCACAAGCUCCUAGGACAGAGAAGCUGAGCCAGUUCCAGCACCCAGAAGGAAGCUCCCCCACUGCCAUACCAAGCUCCUAGGGCAGACAAGGCGAGCUGCGUGGGUAUCAGAAGCACCCCCACACCCCCGUGGAAAUGAGAAGACACAUAAACAAGCCUCAAAAACAGACUUCCAGAUCACCUACAGCAACCCCAAAGGGAAAUGAGAUGGAACACUCUGAUACUCAACCACCUGGACUCUCUGAACUGGCAACAAAAGAGGAUCUGGGAAAAAUGAAAUCAGAAAUAAUUACUCAGGUAACAGCAAAGAUUUUGCUCAUGGUGCAAGGGAUGAUUAAUAAAUCUAGAGAGGACACAGAUAAAAAAAUAGAGGAUCUGAGGAACAUGAUGGAAUCCCAACAUAGGAAACAAAUGGAAUCCAUAAAACAGAUACAAACAGAUUUCCAAGAGAUUGAAAACUCCAUCGAAAGUCUGUGCAGCAGAAUGAACCAAUGUGAGGAUAGAAUUUCACAUAUAGAAGAUAAGAUUGCAAUUAGUUAGGAGGAAAAGAAAAAUUGCUUUAAAAUUAUAAGGGAACAUGAGAAAUCAAUCCAGCAGCUGCUAGACGAUACAAAGAGGAAUAAUAUAAGACUGAUUGGAGUCAAUGAAGAAAGAGGAGAGAGUGCAGAUGACAUAAAAAAAACUGUUCACAGAAGUGAUGGCAGAAAACUUCCCAACCAGGAGAAAAGAACUUGACAUACAGAUAAGUGAGGCAUAUAGGACUCCAAAUAGCCUUGAUCAAAAAAAAAUCUACACAUAGGCAUAUAAUAGUUAGGAUUCCAGAAAUCCAACAGAAGAACAAAAUUCUACAAGCAGUGAGAGAAAAGAAACAAAUCACAUACAAAGGAAAGCCCAUCAGAAUCACAGCAGACUUCUCAAUGCAAACCCUCAAGGCAAGAAGAGCUUGGAGUGAUGUAUUUGAAGCCCUAAAGGAAAACAGCCUCCAACCCAGAUUGAUGUACCCUGCAAAACUAUCUUCCAAAAUUGAUGAAGAAAUAAGAUACUUUCAUGAUAAAGAGCACCUCAGGAACUUCAUGAAUACCAACCUGGCACCCCAAAAAAUUUUAGACAAUACCUUAGGAAAAGACAAUGAGGAUCACAACCCCAGGAAACCCAGCAGAAUGAAUCUAUUGGGC